Molecule: ribosomal RNA, 584 nt
Filed under: uncultured bacterium
Lineage: Bacteria
Description: bacterial SSU rRNA
Rfam family: Bacterial small subunit ribosomal RNA
Source: RNAcentral
CCUACGGGAGGCAGCAGUAGGGAAUCUUCCGCAAUGGACGAAAGUCUGACGGAGCAACGCCGCGUGAACGAUGAAGGCCUUCGGGUCGUAAAGUUCUGUUGUUAGGGAAGAACAAGUGCUAGUUAAAUAAGCUGGCACCUUGACGGUACCUAACCAGAAAGCCACGGCUAACUACGUGCCAGCAGCCGCGGUAAUACGUAGGUGGCAAGCGUUGUCCGGAAUUAUUGGGCGUAAAGCGCGCGCAGGCGGUUUCUUAAGUCUGAUGUGAAAGCCCCCGGCUCAACCGGGGAGGGUCAUUGGAAACUGGGAAACUUGAGUGCAGAAGAGGAAAGUGGAAUUCCGAGUGUAGCGGUGAAAUGCGUAGAGAUUUGGAGGAACACCAGUGGCGAAGGCGACUUUCUGGUCUGUAACUGACGCUGAGGCGCGAAAGCGUGGGGAGCAAACAGGAUUAGAUACCCUGGUAGUCCACGCUGUAAACGAUGAGUGCUAAGUGUUAGAGGGUUUCCGCCCUUUAGUGCUGAAGUUAACGCAUUAAGCACUCCGCCUGGGGAGUACGGUCGCAAGCUGAAACUUAANAGAUUGCG